AGCAGCCGCGGUAAUUCCAGCUCCAAUAGCGUAUAUUAAAGUUGUUGCAGUUAAAAAGCUCGUAGUUGAAUUUCGGGAUCAAUAUAUCGGUCGUGCCUUGGUACGUACUGGUAUCAUUGGUUUCUCCUUUCUGACGAACCAUGAUGUCAUUAAUUUGGUGUUAUGGGAAGUUAGGACUGUUACUUUGAAAAAAUUAGAGUGUUUAAAGCAGGCUUUAGCUUGAAUACAUUAGCAUGGAAUAAUGAAAUAGGACGUUCGAACCUAUUUUUGUUGGUUUCUAGGAUCAACGUAAUGAUUAAUAGGGAUAGUUGGGGGCAUUAGUAUUCAAUUGUCAGAGGUGAAAUUCUUGGAUUAUUGGAAGACUAACUACUGCGAAAGCAUUUGCCAAGGAUGUUUUCAUUAAUCAAGAACGAAAGUUAGGGGAUCGAAGACGAUCAGAUACCGUCGUAGUCUUAACCAUAAACUAUGCCGACUAGGGAUCGGAUGAUGUUAAUUUUUUCAAUGACUCAUUCGGCGCCUU
RNAcentral lists this ribosomal RNA (520 nucleotides) under uncultured Glomus. RNAcentral describes it as "SSU rRNA". It matches the Rfam family "Eukaryotic small subunit ribosomal RNA", at positions 569 to 1089 of the family's 1831-position model. The record is from RNAcentral. Lineage: Eukaryota; Fungi; Glomeromycota; Glomeromycetes; Glomerales; Glomeraceae.